Molecule: long non-coding RNA, 1071 nt
Filed under: Solanum tuberosum (potato)
Lineage: Eukaryota; Viridiplantae; Streptophyta; Magnoliopsida; Solanales; Solanaceae
Description: long non-coding RNA (STUB_LNC001604)
Source: RNAcentral
UUUUAUUACCACUUUUUCACACAUUAGAAUGAUUCAAUAUGGACAAAUCAAUCCAUCACCAAGUCUCAUUACUCUCAAACACAUAUUACAAGGAAAUACACGAUUAUAUACACUUAACAAGGGUUUAGAAAUCCACUUGCCUCAAUUAAUCAACAAUUCACUCCGGGACUUGAGCCUUCUCUUUUCGUUGAGCUUCCAAAUCAAUGCAAUAUAUUCAAAUACAUGGUCACAAUAAGAUUUUAGAACUAACAACACCCAUAUUGCUAUAGGCUUAGCCUAGACCCAAAAACUCACUCAAAUCUAUAAUCAAGUUUAACUUGUCAAUUCUCUUAUUUCCAAAUUUGAAGUCUAGGGUUAAUUCCAAGUUCUCCAAUAUCAUAAAUCUAAUAAUAUUCAUAUAAUAUAACACACAUAAUAUUUAAGUACCUAUCUUAAUAUGUCAAAACUUGAAUCAUAAUGUGAUGAACAUAAGAAUUCCAAAAAAAAUCCAAACUAAUACAUAAUCAGUAACCUAAGCGAAAUCUAACCCAUAUUUACAUCCAUGUUAUCUACCAUUAAUAAUGCUUAAUUGCCAAUUCAUGGCCAAUAAUUAGCUACUCAAUUCCUGAUCCCCCUAUCUCCAAAAGUGCACUACAUAUUCUUUAAUUUAAGUUGCAAAAUACAUCCUUUCAACCCAAUUGCAUAAAUAUCAUAAGAUGCCAACUCCAUUCAUACAUAUAUAUAUAUAUAUAUAUAUAUAAAUCAAAUAUUAAUUGCACUAAUUUCGUAAAUGCCUUCCCAUUGGUUUAGGAAUAACAAGAUUCCAUGUUGUAGAACGGUUAAACAAAACUUCGGAAACAUGAUUACUUAUGAUUACCAUUCAUUUAUUAACCACUAGAAUUUUUGUCCCUUUAGAUCCAAAAGGUCACGGCAAUUCCAACAAACCUACCAACCACUAACUUUAUUUUCCAACCCAAGAUUUCUAUCAUAUAAUAAUACUCUUAUAUGGAAUAAUUAAUGUAGGCAUAUACAAAAAUGGAAGGCCGGGGGAAAUUUGCUUACCUGCAAUUCUUCGUGCCCUUUUGUUCUGUA